AUUGAACGCUGGCGGCAGGCCUAACACAUGCAAGUCGAACGGUAACAGGAAGCAGCUUGCUGCUUUGCUGACGAGUGGCGGACGGGUGAGUAAUGUCUGGGAAACUGCCUGAUGGAGGGGGAUAACUACUGGAAACGGUAGCUAAUACCGCAUAAGCGCACAGUGCUGCAUGGCACAGUGUGAAAAACUCCGGUGGUAUGAGAUGGACCCGCGUCUGAUUAGCUAGUUGGUGGGGUAACGGCCUACCAAGGCGACGAUCAGUAGCCGGCCUGAGAGGGUGAACGGCCACAUUGGGACUGAGACACGGCCCAA
Molecule: ribosomal RNA, 312 nt
Filed under: uncultured bacterium
Lineage: Bacteria
Description: bacterial SSU rRNA
Rfam family: Bacterial small subunit ribosomal RNA
Source: RNAcentral